GCCUCCCGCGGCGGCUGGCGUCGGGAAAGUACAGUAAAAAGUCCGAGGGCAGCCGCCGGGCGCAGGAUGGGAUCCGGCUCCUCCAGCUACCGGCCCAAGGCCAUCUACCUGGACAUCGAUGGACGCAUUCAGAAGGUAAUCUUCAGCAAGUACUGCAACUCCAGCGACAUCAUGGACCUGUUCUGCAUCGCCACCGGCCUGCCUCGGAACACAACCAUCUCCCUGCUGACCACCGACGACGCCAUGGUCUCCAUCGACCCCACCAUGCCGGCGAAUUCAGAACGGAAUGAGCUCAUUCUCUAUACAUCACUCCGUAACUUGUUGUUUUUACCUAGUAAGAAGUCAUGGGCGUCCCACCAGCACUCCCUACAAAGUGAGACCUGUGGCCAUCAAGCAACUCUCUGGUAAGGCCCUGCUGUCGUUUUUUAAAC
Molecule: small RNA, 431 nt
Filed under: Pan troglodytes (chimpanzee)
Lineage: Eukaryota; Metazoa; Chordata; Mammalia; Primates; Hominidae
Description: processed transcript
Source: RNAcentral